UGGGGAAUAUUGCACAAUGGGCGCAAGCCUGAUGCAGCAACGCCGCGUGCGGGAAGAAGGCCCUAGGGUUGUAAACCGCUUUCAGCAGGGAAGAAAAUGACGGUACCUGCAGAAGAAGGUGCGGCCAACUACGUGCCAGCAGCCGCGGUGACACGUAGGCACCAAGCGUUGUCCGGAUUUAUUGGGCGUAAAGAGCUCGUAGGCGGUUCAGUAAGUCGGGUGUGAAAACUCUGGGCUCAACCCAGAGAGGCCACCCGAUACUGCUGUGACUUGAGUACGGUAGGGGAGUGGGGAAUUCCUGGUGUAGCGGUGAAAUGCGCAGAUAUCAGGAGGAACACCAGUGGCGAAGGCGCCACUCUGGGCCGUAACUGACGCUGAGGAGCGAAAGCAUGGGUAGCAAACAGGAUUAGAUACCCUGGUAGUCCAUGCCGUAAACGUUGCGCACUAGGUGUGGGUCUCGAACCAACGAGAUCCGCGCCGUCGCUAACG
RNAcentral lists this ribosomal RNA (489 nucleotides) under uncultured Actinomycetes bacterium. RNAcentral's name for it is "bacterial SSU rRNA". It matches the Rfam family "Bacterial small subunit ribosomal RNA", at positions 355 to 857 of the family's 1533-position model. Lineage: Bacteria; Bacillati; Actinomycetota; Actinomycetes. The record is from RNAcentral.